This is a non-coding RNA of Salmo salar (Atlantic salmon), 1014 nucleotides long. Lineage: Eukaryota; Metazoa; Chordata; Actinopteri; Salmoniformes; Salmonidae. The record is from RefSeq and is a predicted model, not a curated record.
ACCCUGUCUAGCCUGCCAGAAAUGUGUGAGGGUGAAGACUGUGGCACCGGAGUUGAAGCCCAUCAAAGGUGUUUUACCAUGGCACAUAAUCGAGGUGGACCUCAUUGGACCCUUCACGAAAUCCAGGAAUGGCAACAGCUGGUGUCUGACGGUGACCCAUCACUUUACCAAGUGGGUGGAGGUAAUACCCAUUAAGGACGAGACUGUCGAGGCCACCCAGGGUUGUCCUGAGGUCGUCUUGAGUGACUGAGGUCAUGAACGCUGGAACAAGGUUUGGUGAACGGACCAACCAGACCCACCUUCAUACACGCACUGUCGCGACUUCCGCCGAAGUCGGUCCCUCUCCUUGUUCAGGCGGCGUUCGACGGUCGACGUAACCGGCUUUCUAGCCACCGCCGAUCCACUUUUCAUUUUGCAUUUGUUCUGUCUUUGUCUUAUCACACCUGGCUUCACUCACCAAUCACUUGUUUAUUAUUUAACCCAUGUUGUAUUUGUGAGUGAUUGUUAUUUGUUACGUGGAUGUUAUGCGCUGUCAUUUGGUACCGGCAUUAAAGUGCGCCUGAUUAUUAUACUCCACUCUCCUGCACUUGACUUCGCCUCCCAUAUACACGCAUUACAGAAUCACUCACCUCAAGAAUGGAGUCAGCAGGAGCAGACGCCCUCCCAGUUGCAGUGGAGGAACGUGUUCAGCAGCACGCGACCAUGUUGCAACGUCUGGGCACAGCCAUGGAUCACGUGCUGCAGACGAUGGAUUGUUGGGAGAGAGGAGGAGGUUUUUCAGCGCCUCCACCAGCCCCACUACAACAGGUCCCACUGUCCACCCCUCUUUCACCUGGUCCCAGCGGGAUUCGACUCGCGCUCCAGAGGGAGUAUGAUGGGACGGCUGCCGGAUGCCAGGGGUUUCUACUACAGCUGGAUCUCUACAUGGCGACCGUCCACCUGGCUCCUUUGGGACGUGAGAGCGUGUCCGCCCUCGUCUCCUGCCUCUCAGGUAAAGCCCUGGAGUGGGCCAAU